RNAcentral lists this long non-coding RNA (711 nucleotides) under Brassica napus (rape). Its description in RNAcentral is "long non-coding RNA (BNAP_LNC014645)". The record is from RNAcentral. Lineage: Eukaryota; Viridiplantae; Streptophyta; Magnoliopsida; Brassicales; Brassicaceae.
AGUAGCAGAGUGCAAUAAAGAAACCUAAACAGAGCAUCUAACAACAACAAUGACCUAAGCAAGAAGAGCAGAAACCAAGUUCUAAGCCGAGCACCAACGAAACAGUGAAGGACCCUAGGAGAAGCAAGAGCGGAAAGGGGACGAAGUUGCCACGAGCAAACUGGAGAGAAAGGUGCCCUCAAACCUUGAAACACACAGCUUCCGAGUCACCCACACAUCAAAACAUGUGCAAAGGAAUCACAAUCUCAGACUCGCAAGCUUAUCCAACAUCACCUAACCGGCAGCACGAGAAGGAGUCCGCAGCCGACGAUGCCGUCGUUCGGAGAGGUUUGCUGAAGAUUGCUGCCUCCAACCUACCUAACCGAGACCGUGUACACCCCUUUAACCCAAAGCCCAUAUAGAGCAACAGGAUCGGAAGGGCACAACUCCUCCGGAAUAAAUAACCUUGGAACAAGCAAUUAAGCCGAUAGCCCAACUGAUACCAAGCUCCGAACAGAGGAACAAAGUCGUUCCCACUUCAACCACUACCACUGCAAGAGAGAGAGCCUGCAGUGAAGAGCGCCACCCCGUCGAACCCACUCCGACUUCGGGGAGUAGCGACUAAUCUCACACGCCAAGAUGAACUCAACACAGCAAGAGACCACAACCCCAACACGCCCCGCCACAAGAGUCUGCUACAAGGCAAGCCAACAGCCAACCCUGAACAAGACC